UAUGGCUUUUUAUUCCUUUU
This 20-nucleotide microRNA is filed under the name Gallus gallus (chicken). Its description in RNAcentral is "gga-miR-135b". Its record names the gene gga-miR-135b. Lineage: Eukaryota; Metazoa; Chordata; Aves; Galliformes; Phasianidae. The record is from miRBase by way of RNAcentral.